Long non-coding RNA from Herpailurus yagouaroundi (jaguarundi), 470 nucleotides. RefSeq lists it as uncharacterized. The transcript is spliced from 3 exons. Lineage: Eukaryota; Metazoa; Chordata; Mammalia; Carnivora; Felidae. The record is from RefSeq and is a predicted model, not a curated record.
CUGGAAACGGCCGAAGUCUGGAAACAAUCUAAACGCUAUCAAUAAAGGCCUGAUUAAAUAAUUUAUGGUCUGUGCAUCCGAUGGCACACUCUGAAGAAAGCUUCUCGUACACUGGUUGCAUUCCUGUGGUUUUGACUGGUAGUGGCUGGGGAGGCUUCACAUGGCAAUGCCCGAACCCCCAGAAGAAAGAGAGCAACCCAUUGCAAACACUUUCCAGCCUUUACUUGCAUGAUGUUUGCUGAAGUCCCUUUGGCCAAAGCACCUCACACAACCAAGCCCAAAUUCAAGGGGGAGAAACAAACUCCAUGUCUUCGAGUACAGUGGACAUCAGUUUUAAUCUACCACAUGGAGGAGCAGAGCCACCCUGGAGGUGGGCACGGUUGGGCCCUGGAAGUAGCCUUCUUGAGGUUGCUGAUACCAGAGGGUCAGCUGCAGAGUGGGGCCGCAGGCAGCUCCGAGCAGGGAUGCUG